AAGUCGUAACAAGGUUUCCGUAGGUGAACCUGCGGAAGGAUCAUUAACACGUAUCCAACGUUAAACCCCCCGUGAACCUUCAGUGCGCUCGCACUUUCUUAGAAAAGGUAGCAAUCCCUGGUAAAUCAUUGCCGAACAGUUUUGAUUCAGGGACUUCUGCGUAGACUGUGCUUGAGCGUGAGGCAAGUGGCCUGGCAUUCCUCUGCUUGUUGGUGUCUGAAAGUGUCACCAGCUCUGUACGAAUGGCGCAGUCACGAUCGCUAGAGGCCGACACGGCCGGCGGGGCGCGAGCCCCCCUCGUCACCUUUGCAUGAAAACGGGCCUGCGGGCCACCAAACUCGAACAACUGUUAACAAUGGAUAUCUUGGUUCUC
This 373-nucleotide unclassified non-coding RNA is filed under the name fungal sp. RNAcentral describes it as "partial internal transcribed spacer region". The stretch from base 1 to 46 matches the Rfam family "Eukaryotic small subunit ribosomal RNA", at positions 1786 to 1831 of the family's 1831-position model. Lineage: Eukaryota; Fungi. The record is from RNAcentral.